CCUACGGGGGGCAGCAGUGAGGAAUAUUGGUCAAUGGCCGAAAGGCUGAACCAGCCAAGUAGCGUGAGGGAUGACUGCCCUAUGGGUUGUAAACUUCUUUUAUGUGGGGAUAAAACGGUCCACGUGUGGUAUUUUGUAUGUACCGUAUGAAUAAGGAUCGGCUAACUCCGUGCCAGCAGCCGCGGUAAUACGGAGGAUCCGAGCGUUAUCCGGAUUUAUUGGGUUUAAAGGGAGCGUAGGUGGAUUGUUAAGUCAGUUGUGAAAGUUUGUGGCUCAACCGUAAGAGUGCAGUUGAAACUGGCAGUCGUGAGUACAGUAGAGGCGGGCGGAAUUCGUGGUGUAGCGGUGAAAUGCUUAGAUAUCACGAAGAACUCCGAUUGCGAAGGCAGUUCACUGGACUGCAACUGACGCUGAGGCUCGAAAGUGUGGGUAUCAAACAGGAUUAGAUACCCGGGUAGUC
This 460-nucleotide ribosomal RNA is filed under the name uncultured bacterium. Its description in RNAcentral is "partial 16S ribosomal RNA". It matches the Rfam family "Bacterial small subunit ribosomal RNA", at positions 338 to 795 of the family's 1533-position model. The record is from RNAcentral.